GUUUUGUAUUGUUGAUUGUCAUUUAUGCUUAGAAAUAUUUAACCAUAUAUGCUUAGAGGUGUACAAUCAAUUGUGUAGUGAUAGGACUGUGGUCUUUAGCAGACUACAGAGGCUUGGGAAUGCACACCCACAUCCUAGGAGCAUAAGAGAGGUCCUAUCUUCUCUUUGUUGAUAUAUGGUAUAGCAAACACACGUAUAUCUCUUUAAGCAUAAGAGCCCUUUGUUCAGAUGGACCCGCUAGACUCCUGGCACACACACACACACACACACACACACACAGGCAAAGUACUCUUUGUGUGUAUGUAGACGUCAUAUGUUAAUGAACCUAUGCAUAUUCAUGUAACCACAAUAAAAGAGCAGUGUUACGGGAGAACGGAGAGAGCAACUGGGGUCAAGCGAAGGAACGGCGUUUGUCCGGUCUCUCCCGUGCACGAGUAACAUGAAGAACUUUGCCUACUUCGUGUCUUGCUUGCUGUGUAAUUAUAUUGUCUUUAACGUUCCAGCGAAUAGGUAUAAGCUACAAACCUAUCAUUAAUUGGUCCUUCGAUGCAGGAUCCCUGGAGUCGACAUUCACCGAGGGGAGGAGAGGCACGUUGAAAGACUGACGUCAGCCAGGAAGUUCCUGUGGAUUAACUGUCUGUCUUUUCUCCUCGAUGAAUGACGAUCGGCGGGAUUCGAGGCUGUUCAAUAUAUAUAUAUAUAUAUAUAUUUUGUGUGUGUGUGUGUUUGUUGUUACUCUAAUAGGUUCUUUGGUCUGGUAUGACUGAGAUGCAGGAUGUUGAUCAUGGUCCAGAUCCCUACUCAGUCCUUUCAACAGAUCUUUCCAUCCUUCGUCUGUUGCGUGUUGUCUUUCCAAUCACAGGCUUUGCCUGGGGGGGAGUGACUUGAACAGGAACUGGGACGAAGGAAGCACUUGGAGGAGAGACGGGCACUCAUUACCACGCACGGUCUGAGCACGGGAAGGAGGACGCACCAACUAUUAUUAUUGCACAUUCUAGCUAUUGCCAACCUUUAUUCACUGUAAAUAAACUCACUGCCUAUAUUCAGAGCUCCGCGCCUGAGUCCACUCAAUCCUCAACUGUGACAGGAACAUAAAUCCUAAAGUAAAAAACUGAAAAAAAAAAAGUGAUGGUAAUUCCAAAAAG
Long non-coding RNA from Astatotilapia calliptera (eastern happy), 1145 nucleotides. NCBI's taxonomy places the organism in Eukaryota, Metazoa, Chordata, Actinopteri, Cichliformes, Cichlidae. The record is from Ensembl.